Sus scrofa (pig) is the source of this 3023-nucleotide non-coding RNA. NCBI's taxonomy places the organism in Eukaryota, Metazoa, Chordata, Mammalia, Artiodactyla, Suidae. The record is from RefSeq and is a predicted model, not a curated record.
CACAUCCACUGGAAGGGAAAAAACCCUCCAGAAAACUCUUCCAGGACUGGGAGUCGGGCCCAGGGUUCGUGCAGAGAGUAAAUGGCCUUUGGGUCCUCUGCCCUCUGCUGCCCUGCAGCUGCCAGUGUAUCCUCACCUCUCUUUUUGCCUUCAGCUCAGAGACUGUCUGGGAUGUCUGCACCUUGGUGUUCCCUCCCCCACCUUCCUCAUGAGCUUGAGGGUCUCAGUCAGGCAGUCUCGCCCACCUUGCCAGAUACUGUGUCAGGUGCUGGGAGUUUCUGUCCUCCAGGACCUUACAGUGUCGGGGGAAAAGCUGAUAUACUGAGAUAACCAAUCGUGAUGGCCAGAUUUUAUUUUCAUUUUUAAACUGAUUACAAUUAAAUUAUAAUCAAUUUUAGUUGGUUUACAUUGUUGUGAUAAUGGCCAGCAUUCAUUUUUUGAGCGUUCCUUGAACACCAGGAGUUCUGCCGAGCACUGACCCCCCGGGAACCAUCCUACGUGAUGGGUACACAGUUAUCCACAUUGAGAAAACCAAGGCUUAGAGAAACUGAAUGUUUUGCUUAAGGACACGCAGCAGCGUCAGGACUUGAACGCAGGUCCGGGCCACAGAGGCAAAGCCGCUGGUGCUUGAGGAUGCGCCGGAAGGCCGCGACCCACCCACCUCUCCUGGGCCAGGGGCUCGGACGCAGCAGGACCGCUAGGAAGGGGCGCUGACGGCCCCGAAUUCGAGCUUCGAGGGCGCCUUGCAGCCCCAGGAUCGGCCUGGGAGGAGCGGUUUCCGCGGGAGACUAGCGAGCUGCCCGCGCAGGCACAGCCCAGAGGGGCUCGGCGGACCGGAAGAUCCAGCAACAGACUCGAGGGGCGCUGUUGUAGCGGGAGGGAGGCGGGCGCGCCUCUCCCCGGUCACACGCGCACCUCAGCGCCGCGCCGGGGUUCUGUUCCCCGUGAGUUCCUGCCGAGGUUGCCACCGCUCCCUGCUCUAACUUCUUUUCCCACUGGAUUAUUUGGAAGGAAAUCCAACACAUCAAAUGAUAUUAUCCAUAAAUACUUCAGCAUGUAUCCCUAAAAGAAAAAGGCACAUAUGCACCAAUUUUUGAAGGAGCUUUCAAGGUGUCUCUGGACCCCCAGUAGGCUGCUAAGGAUUCCAUAGUCCCAGCUGCCUUCUUCUGCUGCCCACUGCUUGGAUUUCACAGCAAUUUCCAGACAUAGGAAUCUUUUGAUGGGGAAACAUCCUCCACAGCCUUGGAAGGCAGGCCUGAGGUGCCAUGGCUGCAUCCUGGAUGUCUGGAGCUCAUUUUAAUCAGCAGCUGGGAAGCUCCCUAAGGCUUCCAUGAGCUGGCCACCUUGGCUUGGCUCAGCAUUGACCUCUCACUGCCUCGGGCUCUGCUGUUGUCCGUGGGAGGGGAAAGGAUCUCUUAUACUUUUCAUCUUCUUUAAUCUACCCUGGUCACGCCCUGGAUGAAAGUUUACUGAUUUCCUUUGCAAUUUCUGCCCAGAUCUUCCAUCAUCUUCUAUCCUUUGGCCCUGUCAGAAUUUUCCAAGGGGUCCUAUAGCUAACAGACAACGUUCAGCUUCAGAGAAGAAAGGAAAUGGGUAACCAUAUUCCGCACAGAGUGUCUUCCUUUGAUGCUCUCUUUAUUUAGUAUGCUAAGUACAUAUGGAAUUAAUUUCUUUCUGAAGCCUUACAAGUUGCUAAAUGACACAUUUAUUUCCAGAAGGAAGGUAAGUAUAGUCCAGGUGCGGAGGUGGGUUAGGUUUUUUUUUAAAGAAAUGUUUUUUAUCCAUUUGGAGAAGAGCUGAAGGUGCUACUUCAUCAUGGCAGCAUCCAGGAAUUUGAAGAGUGGUCUUGAGGAGGGGACUUAGCCUUAUCUUUGCCUUCUGGGCCAAGAAGAUAUAUUUGUCUUUUCCAGGAAGAAGGGAUUUGAAUGAUAAACUGUGAGAGCUUGAGGAGAACUUGAAAAACAUUCAUUCCAAUCAUUCCCUUAAAUUAAUGAAGAAACGGAGGCCCUGAGGGGUGAAAUGAUUUCCUAAGGAGAUUCCCAAUUUUUAGUCUAUUUGUGUUCCCAGCACACCUUGGCAUCUGUUGUAAACUUUGGAAGCCACUUUGGAAUCCGCUAGUGACCUGAGCAGAAGACUGUGGCAUGGCCCCCUCUUGCUACAUAGCCACAAGGGAGGCAUAUAGUAUCUUUUCUUCUAGAGACUGGGAGAAGGAUUCAUCUUUAAGUCACAAAGAGACAAUGACAGAUUCCCCAAGCUGCAUACAUCCAUGAGAAAAUGACAAACAUAUGAGGUGCUGAAGCCGAAAAAUGCUCCCAUUGAUACAGCCGUGAAGAGGGAAACCCUGCACCCUUUCAGGCAGCAGGAACUAUGCUUUGCUUGGAACAGGUGUGAGUUCAGCUUCAAGUGUUUCAGGAGGGUCAGAGUUGAAGGUAUUUGAAGCAAAAGAUAAUUUAUAAAGACACAGGGAAUGAUUUAUCAUUCAGGAUCAUAAAGAAUGAAAAAACACCACAUACCAUUGAGACCAUGUUCAAGUUUCCACCCCUACAUUUCAGUUGAAAAAUUUCAAAUCCACAGUAAAGUUGAAAGGAUAAUAAACUUAACAUCUAUACAUCCUUCACCUAGAUUUACCAAUUGUUAACGUUUGAAAGUUGCAGAUAUUGUGAUACUUUACUUUAGCAUGCAUCUUUUGAGAAUAAUGACAUUUCCCCUAUGUAACUAUAAUACUAGGAUCACUGAGAGAAUUAGGAAUAAUUCUGAUAUAUAGUUUGUAUUCAGUUUCUCCCCAAAUGUCUUUUUAUGAAUAUUUUUUCAAUUUGGGACCCAGUCAAGAUUCAUGAAUUGUGUUUAGUUCUGAUGUCUCAUUCAGUAUAGAAUAACUGCCCUCCUCUUUUGGAUGACUCUCUUUCUUUGAGGAGAGCAAACCUGUGCCUUGUAGAAUGUACUACAUUCUGCAUUGGUCCGGUUGUUUUCUCUUGAUUCCUUUUAGGGAAAUAUUUUUUGGCAAAAAUAUUGGUGAGCUUGUG